CAAUAGCGUAUAUUAAAGUUGUUGCAGUUAAAAAGCUCGUAGUUGGAUUUCUGGGAGGGUGCCGCCGUCCGGCGUGUCCGUGUGCAGUGGCGCCCUUCCAUCCUUCUGUUAGCGUCUCUUGGCAUUCAUUUGCUGGUGGCGGGCUCAGAUAUUUUACCUUGAGAAAAUUAGAGUGUUUCAGGCAGGCUAGGCCGAAUACAUUAGCAUGGAAUAAUGGAAUAGGACUACGGUCUCUUUGUUGGUUUGAGGGACUGCAGUAAUGAUUAAUAGGGAUAGUUGGGGGCAUUAGUAUUUAAUUGUCAGAGGUGGAAUUCUCAGAUUUGUUAAAGACUAACUUAUGCGAAAGCAUUUGCCAAGGAUGUUUUCAUUAA
RNAcentral lists this ribosomal RNA (371 nucleotides) under uncultured eukaryote. RNAcentral describes it as "partial 18S ribosomal RNA". It matches the Rfam family "Eukaryotic small subunit ribosomal RNA", at positions 592 to 976 of the family's 1831-position model. The record is from RNAcentral.